CUCUGGAUGGGACCCCAAGGACCUGUGCUUGUGUCUGGGUGGGAUCAGCCCUUCCCCUGCUCUGCAGCAGCACAGACACAUGAGCAGUGCUGAAAGAUGGCAUAAAAAUGCAAUGAAAAGGAGCUUUAGAAUGCUCAGGAAGGCAAAUUGACGAGGACUUGAGGUGUACUCUUGUGUCAGAUUAAACUGUGAUUCAUGGCCAGGAAGAUUACAUUUAAAUGUACCUGCUGUGGAAAGUUCUCGUCGCCGUUUCUGGACGUGCUUCUCCCCUAGCAGCCAGAGGUUGUUCUGGAAGCAGCACGUGCUCGUACCUGCAGAGGUAUCUGUUCCUCCUGCUCUGACCCAAAGCCUUGGUGCUGCCACCCCUCCUUCGCCCCUGGGUCCUGGUUUAUUUUGAGUCCUUCGGCCACAGCAAGCCCAGAGCAGGGCCUCUCCCUAGCUCUGCUGCAGACCAUCAACCUGGAUAAAAAAAAAUUUGCAAUUCCCAAACAGAAGGGAGCGGAGAAAAUGGCACAUCGCACAUCGUUGAUUGGGCUAGGGAAAGACAAAGAAAGAAGAGGUGGACUGGAUAUUGUGCGGAGCAGGGAC
RNAcentral lists this long non-coding RNA (588 nucleotides) under Anser brachyrhynchus (Pink-footed goose). Its description in RNAcentral is "lncRNA (ENSABRG00000011860.1)". Lineage: Eukaryota; Metazoa; Chordata; Aves; Anseriformes; Anatidae. The record is from RNAcentral.